Molecule: unclassified non-coding RNA, 390 nt
Filed under: soil metagenome
Description: partial contains 5.8S ribosomal RNA, internal transcribed spacer 2, and large subunit ribosomal RNA
Rfam family: 5.8S ribosomal RNA (bases 1-121)
Source: RNAcentral
GAUGAAGAAGCAGCGAAAUGCGAUACUUGGUGUGAAUUGCAGAAUCCCGUGAACCAUCGAGUCUUUGAACGCAAGUUGCGCCCGAAGCCAUUAGGCCGAGGGCACGCCUGCCUGGGCGUCACACGUCGUUGCCCCCCCAUCUACUCCUUCGGGAUUGCGGGGGGCGGAUGAUGGCCUCUCGUGCGCCUCGUCGCGCGGUUGGCCUAAAUGCCAAGUCCUCGGCGACGCACGCCACGACAAUCGGUGGUUGCGAAACCUCGGUUGCCUGUCGUGUGCGGUCGUCGCGCAUCGAGGGCUCGAAAAAAUUGCCGGGCUUCGGCUCGACUUUCAACGCGACCCCAGGUCAGGCGGGGUUACCCGCUGAAUUUAAGCAUAUCAAUAAGCGGAGGA